This is a non-coding RNA of Xyrichtys novacula (pearly razorfish), 1300 nucleotides long. The record is from the annotation of a GenBank genome assembly. Lineage: Eukaryota; Metazoa; Chordata; Actinopteri; Labriformes; Labridae.
UGGUCUGGCCUGAGGUCUCGCCACAAACAAGUGGCUGCUGGAAGAGAGUAGGUGGCUCUGUGUAUCAUUAUCCUGCAGUCGUUGGUAUAACUAGAGAAGUAAGCGGUCGACAACAUUCAUCUCUCGUUACUCUUUGUUACGGUGUGUCUGACCCUAAGUUAAUUUUACGCCGGAUUAUCCUUUUAAGUUUCUGUCUUUAUGCUCGUCCUGUUCCUGUUUUUUCAUUUUAUUUGACUCAAAGUGGAGAUAACUUUGCUGCAGCAGCAACAGGAAGCUGCUUAACAGCUAUUUUAGAGAAGAAACAACAAAGUGUUAAAUUCAGAUCGUGAUCGAAUCGUCAUUUACGAAGACAGAGUCAGGCUGGCUGUUUCCCUAUGAGUCUUUAUUCUGAGUUAGACACACAGAGUGAGAGUUAUCAGAAAGAGAGUAAACCUCAAAGUAUUAAACUCCUCCCCCUUUAAUUUUCAUACCUGUUUGUCAAACUUCUCUUCUUCAUUACUGCCUUUUCUUUUCGUUUGGUUUUGAUCACAUUAAGUUCAUGUUACGACCGAAACUCAAACAAAAAACCUUUCAAACUUUGACUGUUGAGCACAAACUAAAAACCCACGGAUGCACAAAUGUGGAUUUACACACGUGUAAAUGAAUCGGACAUCUUUGAGAAAGCAUGUAGAAACUUCCUGUAAGAAGCCAGGAAGUCCAUAUAAGGACAGCUGACAUGACGUCACUUCACAGUCGUCCAAAGUUCACUGAGUCUUGUGUUCUUGGUUUUCCUCGACACAGCGCUGCAGGAGCCUUAUUGGUCAAUUACGAUUAUUUAACUCCUGUCCCAUCUGUUUACAUGGAGGGGACAGGCUGUGUAGUACCGCAGCCAGUCAGCAGGGGGAGCUCUUUAGGUUUUGGCUUCACUUUUACAGCGAUUUUACACUGUCGCUCUUUUUCAUCAAAGCUUUAGUAACGACAAGAUCCUCGUGGAUUUACAGACGGCUACAAAAACGUUUUUUCGUGUUUUCCCGACAUGUCGAAUAUGUCCGACAGAUCCUGCUCUUGAACUGAUUCUUUCCUCUUUGUUUGUUUGUAUCUCCAGUAUUUUGUCACCAUGUGCUGAUCCAUCUUGUUUGUAUAUUUUUGCAUUUUUAUCUCGGACCCUGGACUUCAUGAAGGACUCACUUUGAACUCUGGACUUUAUUUAUUUGCAGCUAAAAGACUUUUUUUAAUUAUAAUUUGAAGGAAAAGGCUCCAGUGUUUCCUCGACCUCUGAACUCACACGGUUGGAUGUAUUUUAACGACAUGAUUAAACUUC